GAUAAGGUGGCUGAGAUUUAAGCGGUAGAUUGUAAAUCUAUUAACGAGGGGUGUCCUCCUUUAUCA
RNAcentral lists this transfer RNA (66 nucleotides) under Lysiosquillina maculata. Its description in RNAcentral is "tRNA-Tyr". It matches the Rfam family "tRNA". From Rfam's summary of the family: Transfer RNA (tRNA) molecules are approximately 80 nucleotides in length. Their secondary structure includes four short double-helical elements and three loops (D, anti-codon, and T loops). The record is from RNAcentral. Lineage: Eukaryota; Metazoa; Arthropoda; Malacostraca; Stomatopoda; Lysiosquillidae.